GCAAAUGCACGUAGAGUAUGAAGGUGAGACCUGCCCAAUGGUUGUAUCUAAAAGGGUUGGUAAAGCCAACUUUAUAAAGACAAUUAAAUGGCCGCGGUAACACUGACCGUGAUAAUGUAGCGUAAUCAAUAGUCAAUUAAUUGUUGGCCGGUAUGAAUGGUGUCACGAGGGUCUCACUGUCUUAAGAAAAUGUCCAGUGAAAUUGAAUUUGUAGUGAAGAUGCUACAUCCAAAUUGUUAGACAAGAAGUCCCCAUGGAACUUUACUGGAAACUUAUGUGGCUUAAAUUAAUUUAUUUCUUACAAAUAAGUAGUUUUAAAAUGUGGUGUUAACCUCUUGGAUUAAUUGGGGUUAGAAAAGCUCACUCUUUUAUUUUAAGAAAGCCAACUCAAAAACUUAUGUCUUUGGGAUUGGAUAAGUGGGACAGUUUGGUUGGGGCGACCGCCUUUAAAAAAGUAACGAAGGCGGGCUUAAGAUAUAUUUUUUAGUUAUGUCUGACUGCGAAGGGGGAAUCCUGAGCAGGCACUUAUUUUUAGGUGGGGUUUAAGUGACCCGUUAAUUUAGGGUGAAAUAGUUAACGAUAAACAAAUAAAAGUUACCCUGGGGAUAACAGCGCAAUAACGUUUGAGAGUUUUCAUUGACGACGAUUUCCCGA
RNAcentral lists this ribosomal RNA (654 nucleotides) under Porites sp. 1 XNL-2012. RNAcentral describes it as "partial 16S ribosomal RNA". It matches the Rfam family "Bacterial large subunit ribosomal RNA", at positions 1825 to 2523 of the family's 2925-position model. The record is from RNAcentral. Lineage: Eukaryota; Metazoa; Cnidaria; Anthozoa; Scleractinia; Poritidae.